RNAcentral lists this transfer RNA (83 nucleotides) under Spirochaetales bacterium. Its description in RNAcentral is "tRNA-Leu". It matches the Rfam family "tRNA". Rfam says of the family: Transfer RNA (tRNA) molecules are approximately 80 nucleotides in length. Lineage: Bacteria; Pseudomonadati; Spirochaetota; Spirochaetia; Spirochaetales. The record is from RNAcentral.
GCCCAGGUGGUGGAAUGGUAGACACUAGGGACUUAAAAUCCCUUGCCUUCACAGGCGUACGAGUUCGAGUCUCGUUCUGGGCA